This 200-nucleotide unclassified non-coding RNA is filed under the name Atractospora sp. RNAcentral's name for it is "partial internal transcribed spacer 2". Lineage: Eukaryota; Fungi; Ascomycota; Sordariomycetes; Atractosporales; Atractosporaceae. The record is from RNAcentral.
UUAAGUUCAGCGGGUAUUCCUACCUGAUCCGAGGUCAACUUUUCAGUGCAUACAGCGCUUUUACGGCUGGUGCCGCCCGCCAGACGCCCUAAACGAGGUGUAAAAUUACUACGCUCGGGGUCACAGCGAGCCCGCCGCUUGCUUUCAGGGCUGCCUCGCGGCAAAGGCCCCAACACCAGACCCGUACAGGCCCGAGGGUU